GACGAACGCUGGCGGCGUGCUUAACACAUGCAAGUCGAACGGAAAGGCCCUGCUUUUGUGGGGUGCUCGAGUGGCGAACGGGUGAGUAACACGUGAGUAACCUGCCCUUGACUUUGGGAUAACUUCAGGAAACUGGGGCUAAUACCGGAUAGGAGCUCCUGCUGCAUGGUGGGGGUUGGAAAGUUUCGGCGGUUGGGGCUGGAUUCGCGGCUUAUCAGCUUGUUGGUGGGGUAGUGGCUUACCAAGGCUUUGACGGGUAGCCGGCCUGAGAGGGUGACCGGCGACAAGGGGACUGAGAUACGGCCCAGACUCCAACGGGAGGCAGCAGUGGGGAAUAUUGCACAGUGGGCGGAAGCCUGAUGAAGCAACGCCGCGUGCGGGAUGACGGCCUUCGGGUUGUAAACCGCUUUCGCCUGUGACGAAGCGUGAGUGACGGUAAUGGGUAAAGAAGCACCGGCUAACUACGUG
RNAcentral lists this ribosomal RNA (468 nucleotides) under uncultured bacterium. Its description in RNAcentral is "partial 16S ribosomal RNA". It matches the Rfam family "Bacterial small subunit ribosomal RNA", at positions 28 to 507 of the family's 1533-position model. The record is from RNAcentral.